GGAAUAUUGCACAAUGGGCGCAAGCCUGAUGCAGCGACGCCGCGUGAGGGAUGACGGCCUUCGGGUUGUAAACCUCUUUCAGCUCCGACGAAGGGUGACUGACGGUAGGGGCAGAAGAAGCGCCGGCCAACUACGUGCCAGCAGCCGCGGUAAGACGUAGGGCGCAAGCGUUGUCCGGAUUUAUUGGGCGUAAAGAGCUCGUAGGCGGCUGGUCGCGUCGACUGUGAAAACCCGCGGCUCAACUGUGGGUCUGCAGUCGAUACGGGCUGGCUGGAGUUCGGUAGGGGAGACUGGAAUUCCUGGUGUAGCGGUGAAAUGCGCAGAUAUCAGGAGGAACACCGGUGGCGAAGGCGGGUCUCUGGGCCGAUACUGACGCUGAGGAGCGAAAGCGUGGGGAGCGAACAGGA
RNAcentral lists this unclassified non-coding RNA (407 nucleotides) under plant metagenome. RNAcentral's name for it is "partial contains 5.8S ribosomal RNA, internal transcribed spacer 2, and large subunit ribosomal RNA". It matches the Rfam family "Bacterial small subunit ribosomal RNA", at positions 358 to 777 of the family's 1533-position model. The record is from RNAcentral.